AAAUUCUAGCUCUAAUUUAGUGCUUUUAAUAUUUUCACUGUAUAUCAAAAGGAUGCAUUAUAGCAUUUAUUAUUGUGCAUUUGCAAAUAGCAUUAUUCAUAUGACAUUUUAUUUGGCUAAAUUGCACCAUGCGAGACGUAUCAAAAUAAGUUCUAAAACUUAACAAUUUCUAUUGGUCAGAAAUUUGUUAAAUAAGCAAAAAGAGAGUUAAGUUGGCAUGAAAAAUAUGUAAACACUUUCUUUUAUUAUUUAUUAAAUUUUUUUUUCCUUGUUUAGUGAAGUUGUUAUUUAUCAUUUAGCUGAAUGCAUUAUAAGACAACCAACCGGUACAACAAAAUAAGCCUUUGUUUCGACGUAUUAAAUUGGGUAAAUUGCAUGUUUAGUCCUCGAAUUAUCAGGCUCGUGAAACUUUAGUCCUCAAAUUUAAAUUUAUUUUAAUUUCUAGCUCAAAUUUUUUAAAUUAUUGUAAAUCAAGUCUCACAACGUAAUUUAGUUAACUAAAUUUGAUAUAUUGUUGAUGUAAAGUGAUGUGGUACCUUAAUUAUUAAAACAUUAUUGGUCAUAAUAUUGAUACGUCAUUUUUAUGUUAACAAUAUAUUAAUAUUUAAUAAACUAAAUUAAAUUAAAAUUUGAUUAUAAUAAUCCCGAAAUAUUAAGCCACAUAUUAUAAUAAAUUAAAAAUUG
This 684-nucleotide long non-coding RNA is filed under the name Ananas comosus (pineapple). RNAcentral describes it as "long non-coding RNA (ACOM_LNC033809)". The record is from RNAcentral. Lineage: Eukaryota; Viridiplantae; Streptophyta; Magnoliopsida; Poales; Bromeliaceae.